Molecule: ribosomal RNA, 503 nt
Filed under: uncultured bacterium
Lineage: Bacteria
Description: bacterial SSU rRNA
Rfam family: Bacterial small subunit ribosomal RNA
Source: RNAcentral
CGCCUUGCCAGCCCGCUCAGAAACUCAAAGGAAUUGACGGGGGCCCGCACAAGCGGUGGAGCAUGUGGUUUAAUUCGAUGGUACGCGAGAAACCUUACCAGGGCUUGACAUACACCGGAAGCGCCGUGAAAGCGGCGUGCCGCUUGCGGCCGGUGAACAGGUGCUGCAUGGCUGUCGUCAGCUCGUGCUGUGAAGUGUUGGGUUAAGUCCCGCAACGAGCGCAACCCCUAUCUUUAGUUGCCAUCAGUUCGGCUGGGCACUCUAUGGAGACUGCCACCUAAAGUGGAGGAAGGUGGGGAUGACGUCAAGUCAGCAUGGCCCUUACGUCCGGGGCUACACACGUGCUACAAUGGCCGGUACAAAGGGUUGCGAAGCCGUGAGGUGGAGCGAAUCUCAAAAAGCCGGCCUCAGUUCGGAUUGGAGGCUGCAACUCGCCUCCAUGAAGUCGGAAUCGCUAGUAACCGCAGAUCAGCUACGUUGCGGUGAAUACGUUCCCGGGCCUU